GAUGAAGAACGCAGCGAAAUGCGAUAAGUAAUGUGAAUUGCAGAAUUCAGUGAAUCAUCGAAUCUUUGAACGCACAUUGCGCCCGCCAGUAUUCUGGCGGGCAUGCCUGUUCGAGCGUCAUUUCAACCAUCAAGCCCCAGGCUUGUGUUGGGGACCUGCGGCUGCCGCAGGCCCUGAAAACCAGUGGCGGGCUCGCUGUCACACCGGGCGUAGUAGAUUUUAUCUCGCUCAGGGCGUGCUGCGGGUUCCGGCCGUUAAAAAGCCUUUUUUACCCAAGGUUGACCUCGGAUCAGGUAGGAAGACCCGCUGAACUUAAGCAUAUCAAUAAGCCGGAGGA
RNAcentral lists this unclassified non-coding RNA (337 nucleotides) under soil metagenome. RNAcentral describes it as "partial contains 5.8S ribosomal RNA, internal transcribed spacer 2, and large subunit ribosomal RNA". The stretch from base 1 to 120 matches the Rfam family "5.8S ribosomal RNA", at positions 35 to 154 of the family's 154-position model. The record is from RNAcentral.